RNAcentral lists this ribosomal RNA (241 nucleotides) under uncultured bacterium. RNAcentral describes it as "partial 16S ribosomal RNA". It matches the Rfam family "Bacterial small subunit ribosomal RNA", at positions 15 to 236 of the family's 1533-position model. The record is from RNAcentral.
GAUCCUGGCUCAGGAUGAACGCUGGCGGCGUGCCUAACACAUGCAAGUCGAGCGAAGCAUUUUAAAGGAAGUUUUCGGAUGGAAUUUGAAAUGACUGAGCGGCGGACGGGUGAAGGUAACGCGUGGGUAACCUGCCUCAUACAGGGGGAUAACAGUUAGAAAUGACUGCUAAUACCGCAUAAGCACACAGUACCGCAUGGUACAGUGUGAAAAACUCCGGUGGUAUGAGAUGGACCCGCGU